This 450-nucleotide ribosomal RNA is filed under the name uncultured bacterium. RNAcentral describes it as "partial 16S ribosomal RNA". It matches the Rfam family "Bacterial small subunit ribosomal RNA", at positions 354 to 796 of the family's 1533-position model. The record is from RNAcentral.
GUGGGGAAUAUUGGACAAUGGGCGAAAGCCUGAUCCAGCCAUGCCGCGUGUGUGAAGAAGGUCUUCGGAUUGUAAAGCACUUUAAGUUGGGAGGAAGGGCAGUAAGUUAAUACCUUGCUGUUUUGACGUUACCGACAGAAUAAGCACCGGCUAACUUCGUGCCAGCAGCCGCGGUAAUACGAAGGGUGCAAGCGUUAAUCGGAAUUACUGGGCGUAAAGCGCGCGUAGGUGGUUUUGUAAGUUGGAGGUGAAAUCCCCGGGCUCAACCUGGGAACUGCCUCCAAAACUGCAUGACUAGAGUACGGUAGAGGGUAGUGGAAUUUCCUGUGUAGCGGUGAAAUGUGUAGAUAUAGGAAGGAACACCAGUGGCGAAGGCGACUACCUGGACUGAUACUGACACUGAGGUGCGAAAGCGUGGGGAGCAAACAGGAUUAGAAACCCGUGUAGUCC